This 2068-nucleotide long non-coding RNA is filed under the name Homo sapiens (human). RNAcentral describes it as "HSALNT0164659". The record is from RNAcentral. Lineage: Eukaryota; Metazoa; Chordata; Mammalia; Primates; Hominidae.
CUUUUUAUGGCUGAGUAGCAUUCCAUGGUGUGUGUGUGUAUGUGUGUGUGUGUGUAUGUAAGUAGGUAUAUAUGUGUCUGUGUACACACACACACACACACACACACACACACACACACACACACACUACAUUUUAAUCCAAUCAUCCAUUGAUGGAUACUUAGGUUGAUUGUAUAGCUUUCGGGUAGAUACCCAGUAGUGGGAUUGCAAGAUCAAAGGGUAGUUCUAUUUUUAAUUCUUUGAGAAAUGUCCAUACUGUUUUCCAUAGAGGUUAUACUUAUUUACAUUCCCACCAACGGUGUAUGAGUGGGAAUUCCCUUUACUGCAUAUUACUGCAUAUCCUCACUACCAUCUGUUGUUUUUUGACUUUUUAAUAAUGGCCAUUCUGACUGUUGGAAGAUGGUAUCUCAUUGUGUUUUUAAUUUGCAUUUCUCUGAUGAUUAGUGAUAGGGAACAGUUUUUCAUGUUUGUUAGCUGCUUGUAUGUCUUCUAUUGAAAAAUGUCUGUUCGUGUCCUUUGCCCACUUUUUAAUGGGUUAUUUGGUUUGUUUGUUUUGUUGAGUUCCUUGUAGAUGGUGGAUAUUAGCCUUUUGUCAGAUGCAUUGUCUGCAAAUAUUUUCUCCCAUUCUGUAGGUUGUCCUUUUACUGUGUUGAUUGUUUCUUUUGCUGUGCAUAAGCUUUUUGGUUUAAUUAAGUCUUAUUUGUCUACUUUUGCUUUUGUUGUAUUUCCUUUGGAGAACUUAGCCAUAAAUUCUUUGCCUAGAUCAAUGUCCAGAACAGUUUCUCCUAGGUUUUAGGAUUUUUGUAGUUUGAGGUCUUUAAUCCAUCUUGAGCUCAUUUUUAUAUAUGGUAAGAGAUAGAAGUCCAGUUUCAUUCUUCUGCAUAUGGCUCUCCAAUUAUGCCAGCAUUAUUUAUUGGAUAGGGUAUCAGCCAGGAUGGUGGUGCAUGCCUGUAGUUUCAACUACUUGGGAGUCUGAGGCUGGAGAACUGUUUGAGCCCAGGAAUUUGAGGCUACAUUGAGCUCUCACCAGUGCACUCCAGCUUUGGGUGAAAGAGUAAGACCCUGUCUCUGAAAAAAAAAAUUAUACUGAAUAAGGUGUCCUUUCCCCCAGAGUAUAUUUUUUUCAACUUUGUCAAAGAUCAGUUGUUUAUAGGCAUUUAAUCCUUUAAAAACUUGCCUCUUGGCACUGCCGUUGCUGUAUCCCAGAGGUUUUGGAGCCAUGUGGAGAAACAGCUGGGGUCCUCCUGACUACCAGAAGGCUACCUGCAUCAUGUCCUCCAGAGACCUAUCCCAAGUUCCAACAUAUCUAGGACAUCACCAGAACCACAACUGCCAACCCAAUGACCUGCCAAUCACCAAAUUUCACUGGAGUAUGAAAAUUUAUCAUAUUAUCAGGGAAAAUCUCUGAUAAUUGGCACAUAUGCCUAAGAGGUCCUUUUAUCAUAGUCAAAAAAAGGUAAGGCAAUUUUAAAGGUAUCUGAGGAGAGCAAUUGAACUCUAGAAGCAUUUCCCCUACCAAAAAGAAAUAUUUUCAUUGCUUGAAUUUUGUUUCCUUUACCCUCCUCUACUCCCCAAAUUUCACAUUACAGACUCAAAAUGGUUUCCUAUUGGAUCUAUAGGUAAUCCCUUCCCACAACCACCAAUAGCAAAUUCUUACUUUUAAAGCACCUCUUUAAUCUUGACAAGUACUCAAGAAGUCACUGAUCACAAACUUAUCAGCACUAGGACUUCUCAAAUAAUGCCACUUUCCCACCUUGCUCUCUUGUUUAAACAUAAUCCUCCUCCCACAGACAAAGGUUUGUUUAGUAGAUGGGAGGAGGGAGGGAAUUGAAAGAGCUCUCACUACAAUUUUUAUUGUAAUAAAAAGCCAUCAAGACAUUUACUUUCUUUCCCUCUGUUUUCAACUUACACAAGAUUCUUUUUAAAAGCAUUUUCUAAAAUUUGCCUAGAGUAAUCUUUUCCACAGGGAAACACAAACCCAACAAAACAGCCCUUUGUUUCAACUAACAUUUAGCAAAUAGAAAAUACAAGUACCUGGCACGGGGUCUUGGGAUUAAGGAAGUUGGGG